ACAAGUUUUAGGGUGAUUGGCAUUUUUAAUAACCGUCCAUCCACCCUGAUCUGAUGGUGAUAAAUAGACGGAACCAAUCUGACGGAACCAAAAAUGUGGGACCGGAACCUUAAAUGUAUUUUCUGAAAAUUAUAAAAAACAAGUGUCCUUUUGAGCGGCCGAAACAUCCGAUGAAACUGCACGAAUCUUAAAGUGAUUGACUUUAUCCCCUCUCCCCGCUCAUCAUCUUUUCUUUUUCUUGAACUGGCCCCUCUUCAUCAUCUCUGGUAGUAUGUUUCCGACGGAAUCCUCUCCCCGGAGAUCCUCUCUCCACCAACCAGAUCACAUCCUAAUUCCAAUUUCUUGCCAGCGAGCGACCCUAUCGGUGAACUCUCGAUGACUGCGCGGCUGUCUCCCACAUGGCUGUCGUCGGCGGAACCACCAAGUCGUGCACCUGCGCUAGGCGAGGAAGGAGGAGGGACGUCGGGGCCAUAUCCAGGAUAAGCGGCAGGGAACCUGGGCGGCGCUGCCUCCUCUCGAUUCCCCAAUUCCCGGACCCUGCCUCUGCGCUCCGUGCCCGUUUCGUGUUCGACGGAAGGCUCGCCUGAUCAGCGGAAGUCAGGGGAGGCAGGGAUAUACUUGGUGAAACUUGACGGGCGGCAGGAGGCUCUCCACUUCGCCAAGAUCAUGUUGCGGCUCAAGAAGCUCAGCUACGGCCUCAGCCAGGAGCACGGCGACCCUGUCCUCAUCAGAAUGUCUGCGCCAGCCUAACGCUGGCCUUACAGAGAGGGACACUAGCAGGUACUUCCAAGUCUGCCAGGACCGAUAUGGGGCGGAAGAUGACAUCGGUGCAUCAUAGGCUCUCUUUGCUUGACAGCAACAAUGGCAGCAGAGGUUGACACAUUGAUGAUGAUGAUGAUUUUAAGCUGGUGGUGAGAUGCUUAAAAGAACGAAAUCAUCUGAUCUCCCGUUAGUUGGGUUGGAAACAACUGGUUCUUGAGUUUGAAUUAUUCCUCCAAUAAUCCAAAAGUUAACUUUCAUAGUUCUUAAUUCAUGGUUGUUCCUAGCAGCUAUGGUGAAGUUUAUGAAGAAGCUUGCUAGGAUGGAUAUUGAUAUGAGGGUUGAAGAGAAGCAUUCAUUUUCAGUUUGUUUUUAAGAAUACAAUUUGUACCAGUUGUGCCCUAUGUCGAAAAGAUUAUCGUUAAGUUUGUUUUUGGGCUCUCUAGUGCCAUUUCCCCUUCUAUUGUAAGAGUGGAGCAUGUGACAUAACACUUCUAAAGUGGCUCACACAUUCUUAUUGGAGAGCUAAGGAAGGUUACCUCAUAAUAUGUUACUGCAGUUAUAUCAAAGUGGUACUGAUAACUUGCCUAAUA
Molecule: long non-coding RNA, 1352 nt
Organism: Lolium perenne
Lineage: Eukaryota; Viridiplantae; Streptophyta; Magnoliopsida; Poales; Poaceae
Source: RefSeq, a predicted model, not a curated record